Long non-coding RNA from Fukomys damarensis (Damara mole-rat), 1499 nucleotides. RefSeq lists it as uncharacterized. The transcript is spliced from 6 exons. Lineage: Eukaryota; Metazoa; Chordata; Mammalia; Rodentia; Bathyergidae. The record is from RefSeq and is a predicted model, not a curated record.
ACAACAAAUGAAGGAACCUUUACGAAGUUCAGGAAAAUAGAAAAUAGGAAAAUAGCAGUUCCUUCUGUAAGGAGUUUCAGGGGUGCGUCUCAGAUUUCUGUGAACCUUGGACGCUGAUGGAUUGUCCGUGGGGAGAGUUAAUGAAGGAUUGAGUUUGGGGGCUUUCGGCUGUCACCUUCAUUUUUCACAUUACUAUAGUGAGAGUCAAGACAGGAAUUUUUUUGCAAGCCUUAAGACACCCAAAGGCUGUGGCAUUUGGGGAAAAGGGCCUGGAUUUCUCUCCCAAGUACAGCACACCUGUCAGAACAGCUCAAGGUAUUGGAGAGAUGGCUGCAGCUCUAAAGAAACCUCUUGCUCAUCCAUUACCAGGAGAACAUCUGCUGUACAGCAUGCAAAAAUGUGUGCCGCCUGACUACAAGGCCCAGAGGCACUGGCACCAGCAGCCACGUGGUCCUUGAGCUGCUGUCGCAUUACCCGGCCAGUGUUCCUGAUGUUCUCUUCUGCCUGGGAGGGCUGGGGGGGUCUCUGAAACAGACCCACUGGAGAAAAGAACCGUGGAGACUCGUGACCCCCACUUCUUCCCUCACUGGGCAGUGCAAGAGCUGUCCAUGGAAACUUGGGACCCUGCUCACCCAGAGCCCCCUCAGUAGGACUCUCCUGGCACCCGCAGGGCCCCAAAAGCUUUUGUCAGUAUGCCCACCCUGGCCUGGCUUUGCACACAGUUCCAAAGAUGGCCAGGGCCAAAGAGGAACUGCUGUCCCGCACCUUGGCCGCCUUGCGUGAGAACAGCAGUCACUGCUACAGUCUACAAGCCAAGAGGAUGCUGACGGGAGACUUACAGAAGGCCAACCAGCAGCCCUCGCAGAACACCGGCUGGGAUGUGAUUUCACAGCCCAUCGGAGCAGAGAUAACUGGGACUAAAUGUUGUCCUCUCAGCUGAUGGGUGGGGGCAGUGUCCUACACUGCACAGUGGCUCUCUCUCUUCAAGCUGGCAUUGAACUCGCUGUGUAGCUCAGGCUGGCCUCAAACUCGCAGCGAUCCUCCUGCCGCAACCUCCCAAGUGCUGGGCCUGAGUAAUACUCCAUGGGGUGUGAAUGCCGCACUGUCUUCACCCCCUCAUCUGCUGAUGGACAUUUGGUUGGUGUUGGUAUCUGCUGAGGUCCUGGAACCAUUCCCCACAAGUGGCCCACCCAACCCACAGAAAUAGUGAUUCUGGGAACUCGGAUAUGCAGAAGUUAAAAGAGGCGUCCUGGAGAUGCCGGAUGGACCUGGGAGAGGACACCGGGUGCGGUCAGCAUCCGCGGCCCCAGCGCCCGUGGGCGGAGCCUCAGCCGGGGCGGGGCCCUCACCAGACAACCGGGAAGAGGAUGGCACCGCAGCAUAUGAGGACGUACUUGACGAAGGCCCAGCCUGAGCCGAUCAGGGCGAUGGUGAUGAACAGGAGCGCGCCCUUCAGCCUGGGGGCCAGGAGGGUCUGCUGGGGAGGCCGGGAGCCCAGC